CACCUCAUUGCCACCUGCGGAUUACAUGACCAAUCCUCAGUAUGGUGGUUCCUCCAAUGAUCUCAUGAGCUUUAACGACUUCGUAUGGUGAUGCGAUUGAAGUUGAUAUAGCUAUAUAGAAGUGGUAUAAAAAAUUUAAAAAGAAAAGAUUAUCGCUCAUCAUAUUCAUAUCUAUCUAUUGAUAAAGUAUUUUUGUCAAUCUAUUAUUUAUGAAAAAUAAUAUUAGUUACAUAUAUAAGUUUCAUUUGGGUUUUAUAAAGCAUAAGAGAUAAUAGACGAAAAUAUAAUUCAGGAAUUAAAAAAAAAACAAUAUUUGGGUUCAUCCCUAAGAUGAAUGGUUAAAUUUACCUCACUUUUUAUAAUCAACCAAAGUGCCAUGUAAAAUUAAUUAAAAAGACAAUAAUUUUUUAAAAAAAAAUGGCUGAAAAAAUCAGCACUGACAUUAACACCGUCUACAAAACCCGAAAUCUAAAAUCUAAACCUUAAACCUUAAAUCUUAAACUCUAAUUCCUAAACCUAAAAAAACUUUAAACCAUAAACCCUAAAUACUAAAUACUAAACUCUAAACCCAAAAUCUUGAACUCUAAACCCAAAGCUCUAAACCAUAAAUCCUAAACCAUCAAUCCUAAACCUUAAACUCUAAACCAUAAAUCCUAAACCCUAAACCCAAAACUCUAAACUAUAAAUUCGAACCCUGAUCAAGUGAUGGAUUUAGGGUUUAAUUUAGAGUUGUGUUUUUUGGGUUUAGGGUUUAGGAUUUAGGAUUUAGGGUUAGGUUUUUGGGUUUAGGGUUUAAGAUUUUGGGUUUAGAGUUUAGGGUUAAGAGUUUUGGAUUUAGAGUUUAGGAUUUAGAGUUUUGGGUUUAGGAUUUGGGGUUUAAAGUUUAGGUUUUAGGUUUAGGGUUUAGAUUUUUGAUUUUUAAAGUUUCGGGUUUUGCAGACGGCUUUAACGUUGGUGUUAUUUUUCUCAGCCACUUUUUUUUUUAAUUAAUCGUGCAUGACAAUUUGGUUGGUUAGGUGAAUUUAACUAUUCACUAGGCCUGGGCAUUCGGGUCCUCGGGUCGGGUUCGGGUCGGGUCGUCUCGGGUCCGGGUCCUUCAGGUCUUAGAGUUUAGGACCCGAUAGGAUAAUUUGAAAAUUUCGGUUUCGGAUCGGUUCGGGUAAAGGAUAUAGGAACCGGUAAUACCCAAGUAUUUUCGGGUCAUACAACUUUUCGGGUCGGUUCUCGGGUUUUCGGGUCUUUUAAGGAUUUUCGGGUAUUUUUAAUGGUUUACGGGUCGGUUUUCUUCAUUCUCGGUUUGGGUUUGUAAUAUUCGGGUCCAUAAUACCCUAUAUACCUGAGCUUUACCCUAUAUUUCUGUAAAAACCUGAAAUGAAUUGUUAUGUAAAAAAGUUUAAAACGAGCAAUAAGAUUAAUGAUUCUAAUCUUUCUAUGACAAUUUUCAAACUUCAUACUUCAUUAAAAACAACAAAUUCAUAACAAUACCACAACUUAGUAGCAGAAUGACAAUAUAAAGUUUUACCAUAAGAAGUUUUAAACAUGAUGAGUGCAAAUUCAAAAACAAAAACAACAACAACAAACCAACAACAUUCAAUAGUCUCAGUCUCGAACUUUUGACUCUUCUACCAGCAACAUUCAACCUUGAAACACAGGUUCAAAUUCUGUAACAAAAAGAUCAAUGCAACAAGUCAAUACCAAAAUACAAAACAUAAUGCCAUACGAAUUAAAGAGUUUAAAAACCAGAAUUAUACCUCUCAUAAGAUCAUCUUGCUCCUCUAUCAGCUUAAGCAUUUGUUCCUUUCCUUUGAUUCCUUUUUUUUGACUCUAAUCUCGCAUUUGAGCCACUGCUCCGUGCACAUUAGUACUUCAAUCAUAAAAUGCGUCAAACAGCUUCUGCUUGGGUCUAAAAUUCGUCCACUGGUGCUGAAGGCAGAUUCAGAUGCAACUGAACUCACUCAUUGAAGUAGUCGUUGUAGGGCUUGUCCUCAGCUUCCAUCUUCUCAAAAGCCACCUUGAACUUUAAUGCUUGCUCUAGCAUCAAAUUGGUCGCAUUCCACCUAGUUUUCACAUCCAAAGGUAAGCUUCCUCUCUGAAGUCUUCCUGACUCUACAUGUCGCUCAAAAGAAAUCUGCCUCUGAGUUGAAGACCUCACAAAAUAAAUGGCAUUACGAAUGGCAUUGACACUGCUCUCUAUCUCCAGCAAACCCUCUUUAACAAUCAGAUUGAGAAUGUGAGUAGCACACCUAAAAUGCAGAAACUUUCCAUCUAGAACCAAUGCAUCAGCGCCAUUUUUCUCAAUAAAAGCUUCAGAAAACUUUCUCAAUGCAGAAGUAUUAGCUGUGGCAUUAUCUACAGUUAUGCCAUACACCCUUUUGAUAUCCCAUUCCUCUAAGCAAUCAAGAAGUACCUUAUAAUCCAGAAAAAAAAACAAGAAUCAAAAUCGGGUUACAUAACAACAACAUGGACGUUAUCAACUUAAUAAAAAACAGAAACAAGCGAUAAAUUCAGUUUAAAAAAUUCAGUUAAAUCCAAUGAGCAAGAGAUAAAUUCAGUUAAAAAACUCAGUUAAAUCCAUUGAGCAAGAGAUAAAUUCAGCUAAAACAAUUAAAUCCAAUGAGCAAGAGAUAGAUUCAGCUAAAAAAAAUUAUAUCCAAGAAGUACCUUAGAUAUUGUUGAUCCUUUGUGAUCAUACACAUUCUUGAAUCCAAUGAUGAGUUUCCUCAAAUGCCACGAGCUGUCUACAAAAUGUGCCGUAAUGACCAUGUAGCUGGCACCGGUAUGAGGAGCAUUCCAAAUAUCAGUCGUCAGUGACAGCCGUUGAUUGUUCUCCUUCAGAAUCUUCUUCAUUGCCUCUUUCUUUUGCACAAAGGUCUCAACAAUAUCUCGGGUUGCUGUUCUUCUAGAAUGAGGCACGUACAACUUAGUCUUGUUGCAGAAGUUCCUCCAAGCUACGCUCUCCACCCAAGAUAAAGGCAACUCUCCCACAACCAUCAUCUCAUUUGUCUCGUGUCUGAAGACAGAUUCAGAUACUCUGCACACUCUGACGUUACCAUCUUCUUCGACAUCUAAAGCAUCUUGAGUAUUAUCUUUGUUCACAGCUAACCAUGCUUGGUAAGCCUUGCACGCAAGAUUCACAUGUUUCUUCAAGCUUGUUGUUCCUGAUCUUGUUGCACAUGCCAUCUCUUUCCCACAAUAGUUGCAGAUGGCUCUAUCAUUGUCUUCUCUCUUUCUAGUAAAGUGUUCCCAAACCUUUGACGUCCUCUUCUUUUCUGACCUUGAGCCACUGCAGUUUUCGGUUUUCUUUCGUUUUCCUUUGUUACGAGAGAUUGGAGUCUCAAUUUCAUCUUCUGAUAUAUCUACUGGUGGAUCAUCACCACAAGAUGCCAUCUGCAUUAUAGACAAAACAAAAAUCAAACUCGGAUUAUGUAACAACAACAACGACAUGUUCUAAUAAUAAACAGAAGUUACAGAACACAAGACUACAAGAGUCAAGAGAAAUAAACAUUGAGUUUAAUCAAACAUUGAGGUUUAAUCAAACAUUGAAGAUCAAGAUCAGAGGAACAGAAACAGAAGAGAUAAAUACAGUUUAAAAAACUAUAAACAAGAAUCAAGCUUGGGUUUAAUCAACAAGAAUCGAUACCAUAAACAAGAACCAAACUCGGAUUAAAACAAAAGCCAUAAACAAAAUCGAGACUUACCCUGCUUUGAUUUGUAGACAAUGCUGUCGCUGAUGAAGAAGUGGGUAGGGUUAGGGGGUUUCGAAGGAGAACUUGAUUAUGAUGAGAUUCCAGUUUGAUAAUGUUUGUUGAUUUCGGAUUUAUAUGUUGAUAGAUCAAUAAAGUAGCGACUCUUCGAUUCAAUUUUUUUUAGGGGAGUGGAACGAUGUAGGAGGAGGUGUUGCUGCAUCGGGGAAGCCGGGAAGAGAAGAGAUAGAUGUAGGCUGGUUUAGAUAGAUGUAGGCUGGUUUAGGUUUGGUUUAGGGAAUUGAUUCGGGUCUAAAAUUAACCCUAUCGGAUAUAGGGUACGGUUCGGGUAGGGUACUCUACCCGCGGGUCCGUAGUCUCAAGACCCAAUAGGGUAAUAUGGUGUCACCCGAACCGGGUUUUUCGGGUCGGUUCCGGUCCACAUUUUCGGGUCCGGGUAAAAUGCCCAGGCCUACUAUUCACCAUGGGAGUGAGCCUAAGUAUUGUUCAAAAAGAAAUCAGCAAUAGCUGAUCGACUAAGUAAUAGAUAAAUAUUUCCAUUUGCAACAUUUAUAACAAUGUAACUAUGUAUUUAGUUACUAGGUGAUUCGUCCGCGCAUGCAUGCAUAAUCAUUAUAAAAUUAUUUAUUAAUAUCAUUAUUAAUUUAUAGACCAUCAUUAUAAGUUAUUGUUUAUGCUCUCAGAUAGUUUAAAAAAAACAUCACAUUAUUUAUAUAUGAAUAAGUUGUUUAUCAAAAUAUAUAUUCUUAUUAUUGUUUUAAAAAUUUUGCAAUCAUGUAUUAUACAUAUUUUGAAAAGUUCGUUACUGUAUUAAAUUCUUAGAAACUCUCAUGUAUUAUAAAUAUUUUGAUUUUUUCGCAAUUGCUUUAAAUCUUUUUAGAAAUUCUCAUGUAUUAUAAUAUAUUGAAAAAUAUUUGUAUACACUACAUUCAAUUAAACAUUUAAUUAUGCAUCUAUUUAUAUCUUAAUUUAUAUUUUUAUUUAUGAAAAAAUUGGAUAGUAACAAAGUAUAUGUAAGAAUUAUUUUUUAUUUUAAAAAAUAUGUUUCUAUAUUUCAACAAUUUUAACUGUAUUAAUUUAUAAUCAAUUAUCUAACAAAUAAAUAAUUUAGUUGUUCAUUAAAGUUAACCGCUCUAACUUUUACGUGAAAGUUCGGAUCGAAAAAAAUUAUUUUGUAAAUAAUAAAUUUGUCAAAACCGUGUAUAUAUAAUUAAAAAGUGAUUUUCUGAUUAAUUAGAUAAGCACGUCUAAAACUUUGAUCCAAACCCUAACCGAUAUACAGUAUCUAAGCCCAGCCCUUUUGGUCCUAUAAAUAGACUGUACUACUUAACAGACUUUUAACUCUGGAGUAUGAGUCUAAGAACCUAAAACAGAGCCCAGAUAAGUAGCCAUAGCAAUAGUUUAAAAGCAUUUUUUUAUUGCUAUGAGGUAUCAAGGUCGUAAUCCCUCCGAGCUCGAAAACACAACACUUAAUAUAAUAUAUUAGGAUCGGCCUGCGCUACGCGCAUGAUAUGAUUGUCGCGUGGUCUAUAUAUUAUUAUAUAUUGUACAUUUUUAUUGCGCUGCCAAUUGUUGCCAUACAUGAGAUUAUGUGUUCUUUGGAUGUUAGGUUGUUGACUUGUAUUAUUUUUAUAUUUGUUUGGAUAGUAAAAGUGGUUUUGGCUGACCGAAUGAGUAUAAAUAGAACUAAUAACUGAUAGUUGUAACAGAGUAAAUGAAGUUGAACUAAAAACAUAUUGUAAAGUUGAUUGUACAAAAUGGAAUUUGUCAAUGCAUGUAUUUUAUAUUAUUUCGUGGGUUAUUGAAUAUAUCGAAGAAUGUAAUUUUUGUUGUGAAUUUUUCCUGAUUUUGAGGUAAAUAUGGUGUGAACAUGUAGGAAGUUUAUGGUGAACGUAUAAUACUCCCUCCCUUCCAUAAAAAUAUAUUUUUUAGUAUUUUCACACAUAUUAAGAAAACACACUAAAUUACUAUAAUAAAUAUAUUGUUUUCUGUAAUUUUUAAUAAUUUUUAAUCAAUAAUAAUUCAAUAAAGUCAAUUAAUUUUCUUGAAGUUUACAAUUUUUUUAUAGAAAACACAAAAAAUACAUCUUUCUGAAACAAAUUUUUUUCUAAAAAAUCUAUCAUUAAAGAACGGAAGGAGUAAUAUAGUAAAUUUUCUUCAAUGUCAGUUAUAGAUUUCGUAACAAUUGUUGUCGUUUUUUCCUAUUUAUGUUUUUGUGGCGCUUUUUUGCUUAGUUUUAGGGUGCAAUAAUAAUAUGAGGGAAUAGGUUACUGAUCAGUUUAUUUUUCAAGAUGUUGGUUACAUUGAAUUGUUGGCUAAUGAGUAAUAUUUAUUUUUGCAUUUUUUAUUUGUUUAUUUAUUUGGUGAUGUCAAGUAUUGCUAAGCUCACAUUUUUGUGGGUUAGAUAAUGGAAAAUUCUCUCAACUAGACAUUUUUAAGUUUUUGUCACAAAAGUAUACUUAAAAAAAUGACCAAAAUAACCCCAUUUUAUUUUAAAAUUUGUAAUAUUUAUUUUUAAUUUGUAAUAUUUAUUUUUAAUUUUUAAAAAUUUGAAACAAUAUCUCCAAAACCUUACCCCGUAACUCUAAACCCUAAGUCUAGAUUAGUUAAUCAUAGGGUAAAAAUAUAUUUUUAUCAUUUAAUAAAACUUAUUUUGGUCAUUUAUUUUCUUCAUUGAGCAGUAUUUUUGUGACAAAAACUUAAAAAGCGCUAUUCUAGGAAAUUUUUCUUAGAUAAUUGGUUAUUUUAUAUUUCUUAGAUGUGGUUUUUGUCUUUUGAAAUUUUUAUGAAUUACAAAUCUUAUUCUAAAAAUGAAAACAUAACAUUUUUUCAAAUAUUAUACAGAUUAGAUGCAUGGAGAAGAGAUGACGCAAUGUUCGUAGUAGAUUUGGUUGAUUUUGAGGACUGAUUAAAAUAAAAAUAGAACUAACUACAUAAGGUAAAGCAACGUAUGCAUAACCUUUUUUUUUUUUUUGAUAAAACGUAUGCAUAACUUAAACUUAAACAAAGAAGACAUAAACACACACGAAAAGAUUUAGGAAGAAAAAAGGCUUAAUAUCUGAAUGGAGGAUUAAGUUUCAAGAUUUCAAAUUUGUAUUAUUAAUAGUUAAUUAAUGAUAAACAAAUCCAUAUAAAUAUAGGAAAAUUAUUAUUAUAAUUUUAUGUUGAGUGUAUGUAUCCCUUUGACAUCAGUGUUGAUCUGUGUUUACUUCUGCAGGUUAGUCGUGUUUGUAAUUCCUGUGAGUGGGAGGUGUGUGAUAUUGUUAAUUAAUUAUUAUGGUAAGAUGGAAUCUUCGGAUUGUUCUAACUACGGGUUGCUUCAAGGAAAGGGAGGUCCUGGGUAUUGAUAUGCCUGGUCUGGAGGUGUGUGUUAGCUGUGUUGUAGUUAGUGGGCACCUGUAUUUUAAAUUGUUUGUUCUAACUGUUCUGGCAUGCCGACGGUCUAAUUGUACAAAAAUUUAAAUUAUUAGUGCGCACGGUUUAAUUUGUAAUGUUAUGGAUUGUAGUGAAGAGAGUGAUGAUGUAACGGUGACCUUUACGCAAUUGUAUUUUGAUAAUGUGACCAAUUAUAGUAUAGUUUCUAGUAGGUACUCUGAGAGUAUUUGUGGUUGCAUGUUGACAAAACGCACAUCUAAUUUUAUGUGUAGAAUAAAUUUUUAGUGCCUCACUAAAUUUUUUGACCUUGCUGGGUUUAGAGAUGCUCGGCUUGCAUCUGAAGAUGCUAUUUUUUUCCUGAGAUGAAACAUUAAAAAGCAUGUUAAAUCAUAUGUUUUUGAAAUUAUUGACAACACCCAAAUUAUCAUUGUAACGAUGCUCUAACAUUUGAAUAUCAGUACAUUAGCUUGGAUGCCGAUGUUAAAAUGUGUAAAUCGUUGAGAAUGACUUGAGUUAAUUAAAAAGACGGUUCAAACCAAAGUUAAUAGACUUAUAAUGCAACUGGAUUGUAAAUAUUUGGAAUGAAAUGAUGUGGAAUGGUCUAUUCCAUUAAUUUUAUAAAAAAAUUUACCAUUUGACAUGAAUGGAAUGUAAUACUCAUUCCAUCAAUUCCAAAAAUAAAUAGAGAAAAUACAAAGAGAAUCAUUCCAUAACAAAUUUGAUCAUGAAAAAAUGGAAUGAAUUCAAUUCCAUUUUUUGCUGUAUUCCAUUCCUACCAUUCCAUUUAUUUUAAAUUCCACAAAUUCCAUAUAUGUUUACCGGUUACACCCUUAGAAAAAGCAAACACUAACAGUUCCAAAUAAAUUAUUGGAUCCCAAAAUGAAACGUAAAAAGUUAUAAUGGUCUACAUAAAGUGCAUCUGGCCCAUUAUCUCCAUCGAUGGAGUGUAUAUUAUCUCUUUCAUCUGUGCAAUCAAAGAAGUUGAAUGUUGGAAACUGAUGUUUGAAGAAUCAACUCUUUCUUUCUCUGUUCUUGGUUUCUUAGUCUUCCAUUGAUUCUCAUAGUAUAUGAGCUUGAGACUUCCAUUCUCAGAAUCAUACUGAGGAUGGUGAACAAUAAGGACGUGACUUCCUGUAUUGUCUCUGUUUCUCUUCAAAGACUUGGGUUUUGUUAUUGCUCUGUCAUGAUCUCUCUGUUUUCAGUCUUCUGUCGAUAUUGUUGUUGCUGUUUGUCGUUGCUGAUAACAAACAAUUGAGCGAUGAAAGAUCGAUCGAAGUAGCUUUGUCACCAACAUGUUGAAUUUCACCAAUGACUCAAAUUCGUGCACAAAUGAGUUGGUGAGAAGAAGAGCAGAGUUCUUAGCCAUAAGCUUAUUUCAUCCCCAUAUCAAAUCUGAUCCUUGAUGCUCCAUGAUUUUGCUCUCUCGGGUCACUCCAUAGAUAUCUUGCGCGUAAACGGAUUCUAAUCCUUCCAUUGGAUCAAACAAAGCCCUGAGAAAACCAACAACGCCAAUGUGAGAAACAAAGCAAGUUUUCCAUAUAGAAAUGAUCAUUUCAUGGAACUUAUCUCCAUCUAUAUUCAUGUUCAUCUGUCCACAAAAACCAAAUUUUCAGGUUUGAAGUUUUCUUAAGAUGGUUGAACAAAAAAAAAGUCUUCUUAAGAUUAAUCAAUGUCUUGCAAACAUAUAUAUAUAACGUUUGUAGUCAUACAUUAUUUUCAGCCAAGAUAGGAGGGAGUAAUGGUAGGAGAAUCUUCAUUGGCGGACUUGAACUCCUGCGUCUUGAGGUUCAACCCUGGCUUCACCCAUACUUUGGCUUCAUAAAGUGUCUUCUUCCCAACCCCCAAUGAUCUCCAGGGUGAGAUGAUGCAUCGUUUUUUCUACAACUUUUUCUUUCUCGUUCACCACCGCACAAACUUGACCACUGCAUUAUACGAUUUUGAAAAACCAAGAGCCCAAAACAUUACUCAAUGAUAAAAUCACUUCCAAGCCUGGCCAAAGAGAUCUAUAUAAACGUACUCAUCAUCCACCAUAAAUCAAUUCCCAAGAUCUACACUUAUCACACUGAAACACUAAACAUGCGAAGGUAUAACAGUAACUGAAAGCAAGAUGAAUAAUUAGAAAUAACACUAAAUCCCGUUAUAGAUUAAACGGAUAUCAAAGCAGAAACAUGAAUCGAUAACAAAAGCUAUCAUAACAAAUUUUGGUUUUAGUGUAAGAAAAGAAAAAAAUAAAACUUAAAACUAAAAGCUUAAAACAACUCUUCCAGAAACAAUGACCAUGUGCAUAAACUGAAAUAAGUUAAAUCUCUCAGAAACCUAAGAGGAAAAACUGGUGAAUUUUACGGAAGGAAACUCACAUAUUUAUAGGUUGGAUUCACACGAUGCAUUGAUGAGGGCAUGCAUUUAAUCAGACAUCGUGGGAAGAGUGGAGGAUUGGUGUUAAUCUGAGCCUUAAUGGUGAUGCUUGAAUGUGGUCGACUUAUGUAACGGUGCUGGAUUUCGUUGCCAGUGAAACGACUCCAAUCGAUUAGCCACAUGAUUUUGUUUACCGGUUAAAAGAGUUCAAACCGAUUAGUCACACACGGCGUCCUCCAACUGAGUCUGGCCUGAGUUAGGGGCUGUUUGUUUCACCAUUUGUCAUCUCCAUCCAAAUGAUUCAUUUGUAUGAUCCAUUCAGAUUUUUCUGAUUGUUUGUUAAUCCAUCCAGAUAAUUCAUCUAGAUGAAUCAUCUAAAUGAAUCUUAUGUUUGUUUCUUUGUUUUCAUUUCCAUUCAAAUGAGUUUAGUAAACAAAUUACCAAAAUACCCUUGUAUUGUUUUAAUCAUAUGUUUGAUAUUAAUUUUAACUAUAUUACAUUUAAUUAUUUAGUUUAAUAUAUUUACAUUAAAAUUAUUUCAAAAUUAACGAGUUUUUUUUUUGCGGUUUGGACGAAAAAAAAAAGUUUUUUUGGUUUUAGCGAGAAAACACAUUUUUCGGUUUUGGCGGGAAAACAAGAUUUUUGGUUCUGGCGGGAAAACGAGAAACUUGGUUUUGGCGGGAAAAUACAAAUUUUUGGUUUUGGCGAGAAAACAUGUUUUUGCGGUUUUGGCGGAAAGAGACGUUUUUGGCGGGAAAACGCGCUUUUUGCGGUUUUGGAGGAAACACGUUUUUGCGAUUUUCACGGAAAAAUGAAUUUUUUUGGUUUUGGCGAGAAAACGAGAUCUUUCGUUAUUGGCGGGAAAACGCGUUUUUGCGGCUUUGGCGGGAAAACACGUUUUUUCGGUUUUGGCGGAACAACGCAUUAUUACGGUUUUGGUGGAUAACGCACUUUUUGCGGUUUUGGAGGAAACACGUUUUUGCGAUUUUCACGGAAAAACAAAUUUUUUCGGUUUUGGCGAGAAAACGAGAUCUUUCGUUAUUGGCGGGAAAACGCGUUUUUGCGGCUUUGGCGGGAAAACAUGUUUUUGCGGUUUUGGCGGAAAACCGCAUUUUUACAGUUUUGGCGGAAAAACGCAUUUUUGCGGUUUUGGCGGAAAAAAACACGUUUUUGCAGUUUUGGCGGGAAAUGCGUUUUGUAAUUUUGGUGGGAAAACACUCUUUUACAGUUUUGGCACGAAAACACGUUUUUGGCGGGAAAACGUGUUUUUGCGGUUUUGGCGGAGAAACACGUUUUUGGCGGGAAACGCGUUUUUGUGUUUUUUUUUGCGGUUUUCGCGGGAAAACAAGAUUUUUCGGCUUUGUCGGGAAAACGAGAUUUUUCGGUUUUGGCGGGAAAACGAGAUUUUUGAUUUUAGCCGGGAAACACGUUUUUUUGGUUUGGCGGGAAAAUACGUUUUUGCAAUUUUGGCGGGAAAACGUGUUUUUGUGUUUUAGCGGAAAAAUGUGUUUUGGGGUGUUGACGUGAAAACAUGUUUUUUGUGAUUUUUGGCAUGAAAACACGUUUUCUGUUUUUGCGAAAAAACACAUUUUUGCAAUUUUGACAGGAAAAUGCGUUUUUGGGGUUUUGGCGUAAAAAAAUAGUUUUAGGUUUUCGUGGAAAAACAUGUUUUUGUAGUUUUGUUAAUUUUCGUAUGAGACAAAAAUGAUAUUAUGUUUAGGUUUGUAAUUUGUGAAUUAUGUUAUGGACAUAAUAGAUAUUAUAUCAUUUUGAAUGAACUAUUUCCAUUCAAAUGAUCCAAAUUGGUUCAAAACUUUAAAAUUAAUCUUAAAUUUCUAAAUGUCAUUCGAAUGAUCCAUUUGAAUGAGUUGCACUUUUAGUGUCUAAACAAACAAAACUUUCAUUUUCACCCAAAUAAUUCAUCCAGACGAAGAAACAAACGGGUCCUUAGUGGUUCUCCAUGAUACAGUCGGAUGCGUGGAAGAACAUGAGAUGUUAUGCGGCGGCAACGGAGUUUUGGAGAAGAGAGACGUACAUGUGGGUUUCAUACUUUCAUUUAAUCAAUACACAAAGCCUUAUUUACUAAAGCCAAUUUGAAUAAGAUUACCAAAAGUCCAAUAAUGAUCCAUCAAAGAACUGAACGGAAAAGAAAUACCUUUACAAAUGACCGAAGCCCAUUAUUUAAAGGUUAAAUGAAACGCAUAGUAUAAGAAACUAGACACGUGUCGCCCUCUGGUGCAUAGAUUUUCUGAUCUGAAAUCCUAGGUGGCAGCACACUAGAAAUGAAGAAACCGUACGUCAUAUAUAUAGAAGAUUCCACCCGUCCACAAUAAAAUUCCUUUCACAUAGACGAAAAACAUCCAUAAUAAUCGACCGUCGAUUUUGCAUUGUAUCAUUAGGAAGGAAGUUUUUUUUUUUUUUUUUGGUAAAAAUGUUAAGUUUAUUACCAUUUUCAUUUUAGACAGAUUUUACAAAGAUCACAAGAAGCAUUAGGCAACUUUGCUUCCUCUCCCUUCAGUCAAGGCAAUGCUAUGUAUUCUAUGUUGUGCGUGGUUGGGGUCUCCUUCGUUUUUUCAAUACAUGAGAAAAACGUAACCUAUGAUUUUACCCUUAGCCCGACUGAAACACAUAUUCAGUCCACGUAAUUUAACUUCACAAACAUGGAACUUCAUACGAAUUCAGUCCACAAACGUAUUUAAUAUUGCGUUUCAGCAAGCCCUUUCUCAAAAAAUUAUUAUUAUGUUUCAUUAAACUUAUCUUUCAAAACAUUUUUUUUCUAAAAAAUAGAUCCUUUUAAAGCGGAUGGGGUAUAUUUUAUUGUGAUUCAUUAAUAUUUUAUUUAAAAAUCAAUUUAACAAAUUAAUAAUUUGUCAAAUUCUUUUACUGUUGAAACUUAACUGGAUUUAAAAGGACAUUAGGGAAUUCGAAUAAUAGUUAUACUGAACUGAUAAUCCUGAAUUUGGAUCUUAAUAUAUUGAAAUUCUAUGAUAUCUAACCAACUUCUAUAAAAAAUAUGCAAACAUUAUUUUGGUUUAAAAUAAAACAAAAAACAAAAUAUUUAAUACAAUCGAUAAUGCUCUCCAGGAUACGCUCCUGGCUUUGCUCCGACGGAUUGAUUGCAGAAUUUCACGUGAGCUUGUUUCAUCAAUCGGUAGGGACUCAGUUCCAAAAUACUUUCUCUUAAAAGUAUAGAUCUGGAUCAAAUUAAUAUAGCCUUGAAACUUCUAGUAAUAAAAUCCAGUUGACUAAAGUUAAAUAUUAUUUCAUAUGUUUCAUAGCUCUUCGAUGCUCAGUUUAAAAGAUAAGGGAAUAAUAAGGAUUAGAAAAACAGAAGAACAAGUGGGGAUUUUCAAUUUGUUUUAGAGUUUCAAUGAAAAACUAAUAAUAUUUUUUAAUUUAUUUUUCUAUUUGGUUGAAAUGUAGUUAGGUGUAUGGGUAAUAAUGUUUUUCUAAUCAUUAUAGUAUUUGAUAUUAUUUUCUUAAUCUUUUAAACUGAGCAUUGAAAAGCAAUGGAAAAAAUUCCAAAUAGUUAGCACAUACAAAAAUAGAUAAUUCGUAUAUUAAAAAAAACAUAAUUUUAUGUAGAGGUUUGGAUUCCGCCCUUGUAUGUUUCUCAGUUUUAUAAAUCAAAUUCAGAUGGAAAAAUAAUGUAGAGCCGGUAUAACCUUUUAUUAGUAUAUCUUCAUCACAAAUGGAGUAUACUGUUACGUACAUAAAAACAAAAUAUAAGCCCAAAGACCGAACAGCCGAACACCAAAGUAGCCAUAAAUCUUGGAGGAAAACGUGAUGAGUUCACGAUCAUAUUUAUUUUUCAGGCAUAUUUCUACAUUAUCUAUAAAAAGCAAAGAGAAUCAUGCCAACAACAAUUAUGAUUAGUCGACUUUGUAAAUGUGAUGAUACAUAUUCAAGUUAUCCAAUUUAAACAUCUUUAACAAUUAUGGCUAUAAUUAUGUUGUAUCUAUAACGAGAGUCGGAGACGUUAGACCAAAGUAUCCAAAGAUAGGUUUAACUUGAAAAUAACAAUUAUUGAUAGGGGUUCCACCAAUAUCAUUCGAGUCUAUCAUGUUUCCCAUACUUUUGCAGGUAACACGAACAUGUAACGUGACAAAAUUUUGUUUUCCUCAACGGUAACAAUUUAAUUUACCUAUUCUAUUCGUGAAUCGAUUAGACGUUUGAAACUAAAUUAUAUUGGACAUAGAAAAAAAAAACAAAAACAAUACAGACAACCGGCAAAAAAAAGAGUCCAGCGUAAUUUGUUUAGCUGUUUAGAGAAAAACUGUUAUCAUCAAUUAUGAUAGAUUCAAAUUUGAAUAUAGUAUAGCUUGCUGGGGAAUGAAGGACUUUUGUAUUACAUAGUUCUCAAAUGUGUUAUGAGCAUCAGUAGUUAAUUGUAGAUGAGCUGUGUAGGAUGUUUAGGGGAAACGAAAAAGAGUGUAGCUUAAGAGGGUAGCUUUAGACUGAAUUUUUGUGUGUAUAUAUUGCAUCUAAUGGAAAAAAAUUAGAAUUAAUUAUAAACUGUUCUAUAGAAAAACGUAUGAAUUAAGAAUUAGUCAGUGUCAACUUCUUUAUAACAUCAAAGAGCUUUGAUUUCUCUAGAUGGUAAUAAAUUAGUAACAAAUAUAGUGGCAAACUAACAAAAAAUGAACAAAUACUCUUUUGGUUAAAAAAGGAUCCAUGUUUUAAAACAAAAUUUGCUUCAAAAAAAUAUAUUUUACAUUUUAAUUCAAUUUUUAUUAAAUAAUAAUGACAAUUUGUAAGCUCUUUAAAAAUAAUUAUAUUUAUUAAAUUGUGAUUGGCUAAAAGUUGUAGAAAAUAGUUAAUCAUAAAAAAAAAUUAUAAUUAAAACUGCAAGAUGAUUUUGUGUCAAAAAUCUAAAAGAUAUUCUCUUAAUGAGUAUGAUAUAACUAAAAUUGCAGUAGUAUAAUUGAUUUCGAUAGAAUUUCAUUUAUUAAUUAGAAAACUGAAUUAUUUCACGACACUGAGACUUGUCCUAUAAAUACAACAUUUCCUCCUCUUAACUUGUAUCACAAAGCUAAAUACGAAAGAAACAUGGGGUUCUUGGGUAAGAGUAUAUUGUCGAGUCUCCUUGCAAUAUGGUUCUUCACUUCCUGUGCUUUCACUGAAGAAGUGAACCAUGUGAACCAAACGCCUUCCUCUGCUCCUGCUCCAUCUCCUUACCACCACGGCCACCACCACCCACAUCCUCCCCAUCACCACCACCCUCACCCUCACCCACCGGCAAAAGCCCCUGUCAAGCCGCCGGUUUCUCCACCUUCUAAACCUCCGGUUAAGCCUCCAGUUUACCCCCCAACCAAAUCCCCGGUUAAGCCCCCAACUAAACCUCCGGUUAAGCCACCAGUUUCCCCACCAGCAAAACCUCCUGUUAAACCUCCGGUUUACCCUCCGACCAAAGCUCCAGUUAAGCCCCCAGUCAAACCUCCGGUUAAGCCACCAGUUUCACCACCGGCCAAACCUCCAAUAAAGCCACCAGUUUCACCACCGGCCAAACCUCCGGUUAAGCCCCCGGUUUACCCUCCGACCAAAGCCCCUGUUAAGCCCCCGACCAAAGCCCCGGCUAAGCCUCCGGUCUCUCCUCCAGCCAAACCACCAGUAUCCCCUCCAGCUAAGCCACCGGUGAAGCCACCGGUUUACCCGCCAAAAUUCAACAGAAGCC
Molecule: long non-coding RNA, 15108 nt
Filed under: Brassica napus (rape)
Lineage: Eukaryota; Viridiplantae; Streptophyta; Magnoliopsida; Brassicales; Brassicaceae
Description: long non-coding RNA (BNAP_LNC007658)
Source: RNAcentral